This is a long non-coding RNA of Sinocyclocheilus grahami, 625 nucleotides long. RefSeq lists it as uncharacterized. The transcript is spliced from 2 exons. Lineage: Eukaryota; Metazoa; Chordata; Actinopteri; Cypriniformes; Cyprinidae. The record is from RefSeq and is a predicted model, not a curated record.
UGCUGUUCUCGGCAACCAGAUCUUUGUAAUGGGAGGCGACACCGAAUUCUCUGCUUGCUCUGCUUACAAAUUCAGCAGUGAGACUUAUCAGUGGACUAAAGUUGGAGAUGUUACGGCAAAACGAAUGAGCUGCCAAGCGGUGGCCUCUGGAAACAAACUUUAUGUGGUGGGUGGCUACUUCGGUACACAGCGCUGCAAAACCCUGGACUGUUACGACCCCACACUGGAUGCCUGGAACAGCAUCACUACUGUACCAUAUUCCUUAAUCCCCACUGCCUUCGUCAGCACCUGGAAACACCUCCCAGCCUGAAGCACGCCUGUUCUCCCCUGUGUGACUCUACUGUCCUACGAGAGUUCUUUGUGUCCGUUUGUCGUUAUUGUCUACUGGGUUCCAACUGUGAAGAGACGCUAUAACCUUCCUGUGCAAUUUUAUGAAGAGACUUUCUCCCAUAAGAGCUAAAUAUUGUGUACGAAGUCCAGCCUCAAAGCUUUUUUUCCCGCUGCUUCACCGGUUCACCAGUUGUUUUCUUUUCUUUUUUUUUUUUUACUUCAAGUACAUUGCGACGUCAUAUCCUACAUUUUGUGGAGUAUCAGAAGGUGGACUUCACAGUGAAAACCAAAAGAA